Long non-coding RNA from Symphalangus syndactylus (siamang), 3454 nucleotides. RefSeq lists it as uncharacterized. Lineage: Eukaryota; Metazoa; Chordata; Mammalia; Primates; Hylobatidae. The record is from RefSeq and is a predicted model, not a curated record.
AGAAGAAACAACUGAUUGGCUGUGCAGGUCUUGUUGGGGUAUUCUGACCCUGGCUGGAGAGGCUGAGCUGGUCAUUCUGAGAGCAACUGUGAGGGCAGCCUGAGUCUGCUCUGACGCUUUAGAAGGGACAGCGGAUGGACAUUGGAAGGACUGGUGUUCCAGCAGGAGACCAAAGAUUGGGCAUUGCAAAGAGAACUGCAGAACUCUUAAGAUAGUAUUUCCACAUAAAGCAAUGAAUUGAGUAAGGAUAAAAAUCUGAAAGAUGCAGAGGAGACACAUGACAAAAGGCUGGAGUGCAAUGGCGUGAUCUUGGCUCACUGCAAUCUCCACCUCCCUGGAUUCUCCUGCCUCAGCCUCCAGAGUAACUGGUAUUACAGUGUAGGUGGGCAUCCUCCAAUCUGUCAUAGGCCCAAAUAGAACAAAAAGGCUUCAUGAGGAAGAAUUUGCUGUUUCUGUCUUUGAGCCAGGACAUCAGUCUUCUGCCUUCAGACUCAGCCUGGAGCUUACCUCAGCUCUCCUGGUUCUUGGGCCUUUGGACUUGGACUGGAACUACACCAUCUGCUCUCCCGGGCACUUCUCAGCCUCUGUAAUCAUAACAAUCCAUUUCAAAAGCCAUUAGAUGGAGUUGGGCAGGUCAGUGACGAAAGGUCUUCAUUUAUUUUGCUGACGUCUCCUCCCUGAGCUGACCGUUAAAAGCAGAAACGCUCUAGGGCUCCAUCCUCCUUCUGCUCUGUCCGUGCCCUCCUGCUAGUAGAGACGGGGUUUCACCGUGUUAGCCAGGAUGGUCUCGAUCACCUGACCUCGUGAUCCGCCCGCCUCGGCCUCCCAAAGUGCUGGGAUUACAGGCGUGAGCCACCGCACCCGGCCCUGGAUACAUUUUCAAGUGGCCCAACCUUUGGAGGUGAAUGCUGUUGGGAGAGGUGGCUUCUACUCCAGGAGGGCAACAAAAGCUUCUUGACUCAUCUUCCUGCCUGGCCCCUCUCCAGUCUAUUCUCAGUGCAGCGGGCAAGAUGAUUCUGCUGAGAUACCAAUGGAUCACCUUAAUGUUUUUGAGGCUUAUCCAGCAUGUAUCGAUACUUCCUUCCUUUGGAUGACUGAAUAAUAUUCCACGGCAGGGUCUCACCCUGUUGCCUAGGCUGGAGUGCAGAGGCAUGAUCACAGCUCACUGCAGCCUCAACCUCCCCAGGCUCAGGUGAUCCUCCUACAUCAGCUCCUGAGUAACUGGGCCUACAGCAUCUUGCUCUUGUCGCCCAGGCUGGAGUGCAAUGGCACGAUCUGAACUCACUGCAACCUCUGCCUCCUGGGUUCAAGCGAUUCUCCUGCCUCAGCCUCCCAAGUAGCCAGGUUUACAGAGUCUUGCUCUGUCGUCCAGGCUGGAGUGUAGUGGUGUGUCUGGAAUUGGUGGGUUCUUGGUCUCACUGACUUCAAGAAUGAAGCUGCAGACCCUCGCGGUGAGUGUUAACAGUUCUUAAAGGUGGUGUGUCCGGAGUUUGUUCCUUCUGAUGUUCGGACGUGUUCAGAGUUUCUUCCUUCUGGUGGGUUCGUGGUCUCGCUGGCUUCAGGAGUGAAGCUGCAGACCUUCGCGGUGAGUGUUACAGCUCUUAAGGCGGUGCUUCUGGAGUUGCUCAUCCCUCCCGUCGGGAGUUGUUCAUUCCUCCCGGUGGGUUAGUGGUCUCGCUGGCCUCAGGAGUGAAGCUGCAGGCCUUUGUGGUGAGUGUUACAGCUCAUAAAGGCAGUGCAGACCCAAAGAGUGAGCAGCAGCAAGAUUUAUUGCAAAGAGUGAAAGAACAAAGCCUCCACAGCGUGGAAAGGGACCCAAUUGGGUUGCGGCUGAUGGCUAGGGCAGCCUGCUUUUAUUCUCUUAUCCGACCCUCCACCCUUCCCCCCCCCACUCACAUCCUGCUGAUUGGUCCAUUUUACAGAGAGCUGAUUGGUCCAUUUUACAGAGACGGCCCUUUGGCGGUGGAUGGGACCGGGCCCCUCCAAGCAGGCGCGGUGUGUGUCGGGGAGGCUCGGCCAGCGUCGGAGCCAAUUGCCGGGGAGGAGGGGUGGCUCCGGCGUUUCUGGCUGCAGGUCGGGAGCCCUGCCCUGCGGGGAGGCGGCUGAGGCCCGGCGAGAAUUCAAGCGCGGCGCGGUUGGGCCGGCAGUACUGGGGGACCUGGUGCACCCUCUGCAGCUGCUGGCCCGGGUGCUAAGCCCCUCACUGCCCGCGGCCAGCGGUGCUGGCCGGCCGCUCCGAGUGUGGGGCCUGCGGAGCCCGCGUCCACCCGGAACUCGCGCUGGCCCGCUAGCGCCGUGCGCAGCUCCGGUUCCCGCCCACUCCUCUCCCUCUACACCUGCCUGCUAGCAGAGGGAGCCGGCUCCGGCCUCUGCCAGCCCAGAGACGGGCUCCUACAGUGCAGCGGCGGGCUGAAGGGCUCCUCAAGCGCGGCCAGAGUGGACGCCGAGGCCGAGGAGGCGCCCAGAGCGAGUGAGGGCUGCUAGCACGUUGUCACCUCUCAGUGGCAUGAUCUCCGUUCACCGCAACCUCCACCUCUCGGGUUCAAGCGAUUCUCCUGCCUCGGCCUCCCAAGUAGCUGGGAUUACAGGCACAAGCCACCACACCUGGCUAAUUUUUUUUGAGGUUUUAGUAGAGAUGGGGUUUCGCCAUGUUGGCCAGGCCAGUCUUGAACUCCUGGACUCAAGUAAUCCACCUGCCUCAGCCUUCCAAAAUGCUGGGAUUACAGGCAUGAGCCAUCGCGUCCUGCCCUGACCUCUGCUUUCAGCCACAAACUCAGCACAGCACUUGGCACGUGAUACAGGUUCAGUAUAUAUUUUCAAACAAAUAAAUUGAACUGAAGAAUUGAGUCAAGGGGACAAGACCUUUGAAGGCCAAAAGAUUGAAGUUGGUGGUAAUGAGACAUCGAGCUCUGGUUUGAACUAAAAUCCUUUGAAGUGAAAACCUCUUGAGUGGUUGUGAAACUUGAACUUACCAUAAAUAUCUCUUCGUAUUUUUUGAGCCGAUUAAUCCAUGGCUCCCAUAAAAUCUUCUGCAAAUUAAACAACAGGGUAAGAGCACCACGCCUUGCUCUCCCUCCACCACCAACUUGGCAGAGACCUAGACCCAAGGAUGCAGGAGCUGUUCCUCUCCGUCUGAGCCUGCUGGGCUGAAUGGGCAUGAAGAAAGUUGGAGAACGGAACAGGCAAACCAGGCAGAUCCUCCAGCCAACCCCAAGCACUGGGGUACUGCGCCCAACCCCUGGCCCCUGUCACCUACAAACCAAAGCAUACCUGCCCUCUGCCAACUGAAACCGUGUGCCUCUGACUCGGAUGGUGGUCUGGAGUCCCAGCCAAGGAUGGGCUGUGCUACUGGUCUCUGAGGGAAAGUGAACAAAGGGCUUUCCUCUCUGAUGUGAGAGUAUGCUUAUAGAAAUGGGAAACCUGGUCAAAGUAAUAAAACGAAUGCCUUUAAGAU